Molecule: ribosomal RNA, 600 nt
Filed under: Nemania serpens
Lineage: Eukaryota; Fungi; Ascomycota; Sordariomycetes; Xylariales; Xylariaceae
Description: eukaryotic LSU rRNA
Rfam family: Eukaryotic large subunit ribosomal RNA (bases 126-600)
Source: RNAcentral
GAUGUCCUUGCAGCUCCCUAAAUUCAGUGGCGGAGUAGGUCUUCACCCCAGACGUAGUAGCUAUUACAUCGCCUGUGGUAUAGGCCCUCUCUUGCCGUAAAAAUGCCCUAAAAAGCACUAUAGGUUGACCUCGGAUCAGGUAGGAAUACCCGCUGAACUUAAGCAUAUCAAUAAGCGGAGGAAAAGAAACCAACAGGGAUUGCCCUAGUAACGGCGAGUGAAGCGGCAACAGCUCAAAUUUGAAAUCUGGCCUUCGGGUCCGAGUUGUAAUUUGUAGAGGAUGCUUUUGGUGAGGUGCCUUCCGAGUUCCCUGGAACGGGACGCCUUAGAGGGUGAGAGCCCCGUACGGUUGGACACCGAACCUCUGUAAAGCUCCUUCGACGAGUCGAGUAGUUUGGGAAUGCUGCUCUAAAUGGGAGGUAAAUUUCUUCUAAAGCUAAAUAUUGGCCAGAGACCGAUAGCGCACAAGUAGAGUGAUCGAAAGAUGAAAAGCACUUUGAAAAGAGGGUUAAACAGCACGUGAAAUUGUUGAAAGGGAAGCGUUUGCGACCAGACUUUUUCCUAGCGGAUCAUCCGGUGGUUUCCACCGGUGCACUUCGC